CCGCAUUCGUGUGUUGACUUAGUGUCCGGGUACUGAUUCCGUAAUAAUUACGCUAAAAGGUUGGUGGAAGGUUGACUAUUCUUCAUAACAUUGCAGUGAACAUUAAUUUUAUAGUCGCCUUACAUAAAAGCCAUCAAGACAAUGAGCCGAUAAAAAUGAUAAACCUGUCAAGGAUCUUGUAAUUCUACUGUACGAAACUGCACUGUUAUUGUCUGGAUUCUCACUGGAUGAGUCAGGUGUGCACGCAUCUCGCAUCUAUCUUAUGGUCAAGCUGGGUCUUAUGGCGGGUUUACAUUAGGGAGAUCUAUAGCUAUAGAUGGAUUUAUUCACGCGAAAAUAGGUGUAAACGGCAUAUGUAAACGCUUGUGAAUUUCUCACUGGUGAUAAAUCACUAAAGUUGGAUGCAGUUCUACUUCAGGUGAAUAAAUUCACCGAAAAUAUGAAUAUAUUCAUUAUAGAAGUUCACGCUAGUGUAAACGGCUGAUGCGAUUUCUAUAAAUCUCAUCAUAUUUCUUCACAUGAAUAUAUCACUAGUCUAAACCCACCCUUAGAAUCGAUAAGGACGAAGCUAUGAGCACAGAUGAUACUCCAGCCGCAACUACUGGUGAAGAUGCUCCACCACUAGAGGAUGACACCGAGGAUGCUUCACACAUGGAAGAAGUUGAUUAAACAUAUACGAUUUUUAACUACUUAAGUAGCUUUUUGUAAUUUUUGAAAGUCUGAUUUUGUGUUUUUGGAGUACGGAAACGGUAUGCUGAAUUGAGUUUCUCGUAUCAGUUAGGGUCAACUAUUGUAAAUUUACAUUUUAAUUUUGUACCGCGUUAUAGCGGCUGCAGAAGAUGUAUAUUCUUGUCAUUCGUAAUAGCAUACCAAGUACUUGA
Toxorhynchites rutilus septentrionalis is the source of this 881-nucleotide long non-coding RNA. RefSeq lists it as uncharacterized. Lineage: Eukaryota; Metazoa; Arthropoda; Insecta; Diptera; Culicidae. The transcript has 3 exons. The record is from RefSeq and is a predicted model, not a curated record.